UACGGGGGGUGCGAGCGUUAGUCGGAAUUAUUGGGCGUAAAGGGUGCGUAGGUGGUUGGAUCAGUCAUCUGUGAAAUACCCGGGCUUAACCUGGGCAGGUCAGAUAAGACUGUUUGACUGGAGUAUAGGAGAGGGUAGUGGAAUUUCCGGUGUAGCGGUGAAAUGCGUAGAGAUCGGAGGGAACACCAGUGGCGAAGGCGGCUACCUGGCCGGAUACUGACACUGAAGCACGAAAGCGUGUGGAGCAAACAGG
RNAcentral lists this ribosomal RNA (253 nucleotides) under uncultured bacterium. RNAcentral describes it as "partial 16S ribosomal RNA". It matches the Rfam family "Bacterial small subunit ribosomal RNA", at positions 524 to 776 of the family's 1533-position model. The record is from RNAcentral.